RNAcentral lists this ribosomal RNA (544 nucleotides) under uncultured bacterium. RNAcentral's name for it is "bacterial SSU rRNA". It matches the Rfam family "Bacterial small subunit ribosomal RNA", at positions 776 to 1318 of the family's 1533-position model. The record is from RNAcentral.
GAAUAGAUACCCGUGGUAGUCCACGCCGUAACGAUGAGUGCUAAGUGUUAGGGGUUUCCGCCCCGUUAGUGCUGCAGCUAACGCAUUAAGCACUCCGCCUGGGGAGUACGGUCGCAAGAUUGAAACUCAAAGGAAUUGACGGGGGGCCCGCACAAGCGGUGGAGCAUGUGGUUUAAUUCGAAGCAACGCGAAGAACCUUACCAGGUCUUGACAUCCCACUGACCGCUAUGGAGACAUAGUUUUCCCUUCGGGGACAGUGGUGACAGGUGGUGCAUGGUUGUCGUCAGCUCGUGUCGUGAGAUGUUGCGUUAAGUCCCGCAACGAGCGCAACCCUUGAUCUUAGUUGCCAUCAUUUAGUUGGGCACUCUAAGGUGACUGCCGGUGACAAACCGGAGGAAGGUGGGGAUGACGUCAAAUCAUCAUGCCCCUUAUGACCUGGGCUACACACGUGCUACAAUGGACGGUACAAACGGUUGCCAACCCGCGGAGGGGAGCUAAUCCGAUAAACCGUUCUCAGUUCGGAUUGUAGGCUGCAACUCGCCUA